CUGGCCAAGCAGCGGCGCCUCUUGUCUUGUCGCCCGCACCUGCCCGUCCCGCCGCCACUACCACCUCCAGCCAGUUUAUUUCUCUUAUGGAAGUGAGAGACAGGAAGACAGAAUACCCUCAACUGCGUCUGUCACUGGGAUCCAGGCCCCUCGCCUUCCCAGCCAAUCAGAACCAUGGAUACAAGUUGCCGCAUCUACUGGUCGACGGAGGAUUCCGAACCUGCGACCUUCUAUAGGGACCCAGCAUCAGUUGAUUAGUACCCUAACAUACCUUCCUGGUGAGAACAGCAGUGGGUGUUUGAUCGUCCUCAGGGUCAAAGGCUAGGAGAAGCCGCAGCUCGGGUUCCUAGGGUGGCAGAGUGGCCGCGUCUGCCCCGUUGGCCUGGAGCACUGUCAACUGCCACCUCUUUCACUGCUAGCUAUUCCCUUGUGGGUAACAAGUCAACGAGCCUCACGGUCACUGUCCUAGAUUCUCCGAAGACUCAUUCAGUCAGAGCCACCAUCGGGGCCAGCAGGUCGAAGGCGGUUAAAGUGCCGGA
Molecule: long non-coding RNA, 539 nt
Organism: Tupaia belangeri chinensis (Chinese tree shrew)
Lineage: Eukaryota; Metazoa; Chordata; Mammalia; Scandentia; Tupaiidae
Exons: 3
Source: RefSeq, a predicted model, not a curated record